Molecule: ribosomal RNA, 305 nt
Filed under: uncultured bacterium
Lineage: Bacteria
Description: bacterial SSU rRNA
Rfam family: Bacterial small subunit ribosomal RNA
Source: RNAcentral
GUCCUACGGGACGCAGCAGUGGGGAAUAUUGCACAAUGGGGGAAACCCUGAUGCAGCGACGCCGCGUGAGUGAAGAAGUAUCUCGGUACGUAAAGCUCUAUCAGCAGGGAAGAAAAAAAGUCUUUGGCUUUGGACGGUACCUGACUAAGAAGCCCCGGCUAACUACGUGCCAGCAGCCGCGGUAAUACGGAGGAUGCGAGCGUUAUCCGGAUUUAUUGGGUUUAAAGGGUGCGCGGGCGGCACGGCAAGCCGGCGGUCAAAUCGCGGGGCUCAACCCCGCCCAGCCGUCGGAACUGCCGGGCUAG